Molecule: unclassified non-coding RNA, 187 nt
Filed under: uncultured Sebacina
Lineage: Eukaryota; Fungi; Basidiomycota; Agaricomycetes; Sebacinales; Sebacinaceae
Description: sequence contains ITS1
Source: RNAcentral
AUGAUUGCGAAUGGUUGCCUUCAGUGCUGGCCCUCUUCUGAGAGCAAGUGCACGUUGGUGGCUUUCAUCCAAUACCACACCCUUGUGAACCAUUUGCCUCUUGCUAGCCUUGGUUGGCAGAGGACUUUUUUAAUACACACACACUCGAAUGUAAUGAAAACUACUGUCGUGCGCAAGCACUAAUGUA